AUUGGGCCAGCAGCAACUGGAGCUUUGCCCUUGGUUCUGGGAAACAUCUGAGAUGGAUGACAGAGAGAUCGGGGCACAUUUGAAGGCUUGCAGCAAGGAAGGCAAAGAGAUUGAAAACUAUCCAAAUGGAGAGUGAACAGCCAGAGACAUUGGGGCUUCUUCCCUUGGACAGCAGAAGUCUUGGCAUCUAAUUCCUGAGCUCUGACAUUUGGGGAGCUUCGCGUGGAUGUCUCAACUAACACCAAAGAAAUAAACCACCAAAAGCCAGAGUUCAGUCAACCCCUCCAAUUGUCCACAAGCAUGCCUCAGAUUUGGAGAAGGACUGUCCCCACUUCACCUCCGAAGACAGAAAGUUGGGAGCAGCAGGUGGAUCAUUUCAGCCAAGGCCAGGGUCGUGAGAUCUGAUUGUUGAAUGGGCGGCCAUCAGAGACACAGCGGACACGGCCGAUGGGAUGUGGAAAAGGCUCAGAUCUACCCAGGACCUCCAGAUGUACGGCUGCUUUUACACCAUGCACUGUAAUGAUAGGGUCUUACCUAUCUUCCAAAUGGCCUACUGAGACCUCCAGUGCCUACUAGGAUGCUUUGCAGCAUGAUACCCACAGCCCUACCCACUGCGAGUGAACAAGAAGGCCUGUCAUCACUGGAGUAGGUCUAUUCUACUCCCAGCUAGGCUUCGGUCACCAGGCCCUCGGACCUACCUGGCUCUGUUCGGUGCUAAGAGAAGUCUGCUGCCAGAGAGUUCAGAUCAUUUUGACAUCCCAGCAUCUCCAUGAGCAGAGCGGAUUGCUGCUUGCAAUGAAGUCUUCCUGGAGUUGGAUUGACAAAUCAUCAAAUUGAGAAUAAUCAGCUCAGACUAUCUAUUUCCUUCUGAGACUUCCCCAACAUAAGGAACCACAGCGGGGUGGAGGCAUCAAGCAGGCAAGGAAGGAGGAGAAGGAGCUUUGAAAUUAAAUGACAACGGUCUAAAGUUUCUGCUCAGUGCAACAUGUGGAGCUCAGAGGACAACCUGCCGGAGUCAGUUCUCUCCUUCCACCGGUGGGUCCAGGGGAUUGAGCUGAGGUGUCAGAUUUGGUAGCAGACAUCCCUUCCACUGAAGUAUCUCUUCGGCUCUGCUCUUGGCUGUGGUUCUAAUGUGACUGGCUGCUUCAUGUUCCCGCUGCUUUGACUACUCUGCAAUGAUGGACGGUAACCUGGUGUCUACCCCAACCCCAAGCUAAACUUUAGGUGCCAGACCCACCUUCUUUCCUCCUUAAGUUCCUUGUCUCAGGGUGUUUUACGAUAGCAGCAGAAGCACAACUAAUACAGUAGUCCAAUGAGACUGCUGGUGUCAAGACAGCCAAGCCUGCAGAGCGUCCUCCUCUUCCUCCUUGUCGUCAUCGUCGUCGUCAUCAUCAUCAUCAUCAUCAUCUUCCUCCUCCUCCU
Molecule: non-coding RNA, 1422 nt
Organism: Peromyscus maniculatus bairdii (prairie deer mouse)
Lineage: Eukaryota; Metazoa; Chordata; Mammalia; Rodentia; Cricetidae
Source: RefSeq, a predicted model, not a curated record